UAUACGACCGUACCGCAAACCGACACUGGUGCGCGAGAUGAGUAUUCUAAGGCGCUUGAGAGAACUCAGGAGAAGGAACUCGGCAAAUUGACACCGUAACUUCGGAAGAAGGUGUGCCCUAUUAGUGUGUAGUGAACAACGAAGCAUGAAUGGGUUGCAAAAAAUCGGUGGCUGCGACUGUUUAUUAAAAACACAGCACUCUGCAAACACGAAAGUGGACGUAUAGGGUGUGACGCCUGCCCGGUGCUGGAAGAUUAAAUGAUGGGGUGCAAGCUCUUGAUUGAAGUCCCAGUAAACGGCGGCCGUAACGAUAACGGUCCUAAGGUAGCGAAAUUCCUUGUCGGGUAAGUUCCGACCUGCACGAAUGGCGUAACGAUGGCCACACUGUCUCCUCCUGAGACUCAGCGAAGUUGAAAUGUUUGUGAUGAUGCAAUCUCCCCGCGGAAAGACGGAAAGACCCCAUGAACCUUUACUGUAGCUUUGUAUUGGACUUUGAACAGAUCUGUGUAGGAUAGGUGGGAGGCUUUGAAGCAGGGUCGCUAGAUCUUGUGGAGCCAACGUUGAAAUACCACCCUGGUGUGUUUGAGGUUCUAACCUAGGUCCAUUAUCUGGAUCGGGGACAGUGCAUGGUAGGCAGUUUGACUGGGGCGGUCUCCUCCCAAAGCGUAACGGAGGAGUUCGAAGGUACGCUAGUUACGGUCGGACAUCGUGACGAUAGUGCAAUGGCAUAAGCGUGCUUAACUGCGAGACUGACAAGUCGAGCAGAUGCGAAAGCAGGACAUAGUGAUCCGGUGGUUCUGUAUGGAAGGGCCAUCGCUCAACGGAUAAAAGGUACUCUGGGGAUAACAGGCUGAUACCGCCCAAGAGUUCAUAUCGACGGCGGUGUUUGGCACCUCGAUGUCGGCUCAUCUCAUCCUGGGGCUGUAGCCGGUCCCAAGGGUAUGGCUGUUCGCCAUUUAAAGAGGUACGUGAGCUGGGUUUAAAACGUCGUGAGACAGUUUGGUCCCUAUCUUCCGUGGGCGCUGCAGAUUUGAGGAAGCCUGCUCCUAGUACGAGAGGACCGGAGUGGACACACCUCUGGUGUAUCGGUUGUCACGCCAGUGGCAUUGCCGAGUAGCUAAGUGUGGAAGAGAUAACCGCUGAAAGCAUCUAAGCGGGAAACUCGUUUCAAGAUGAGAUCUGCCGGGGCCUUGAGCCCCCUAAAGAGUCGUUCAAGACCAGGACGUUGAUAGGUCAGGUGUGGAAGCGAAG
Molecule: ribosomal RNA, 1251 nt
Filed under: metagenome
Description: bacterial LSU rRNA
Rfam family: Bacterial large subunit ribosomal RNA
Source: RNAcentral